ACCAAUAACUAAGCAAAUAAAUAAAUGCCCAAACCUUUCAUCAAAAUUUCCAUCUACUCCUCACUUCUCCGACGUCUUUGUGAUCGCCGAACUACACUCCGGGGACCAAUAAUGUCUCAGUCCUUGCUCUCUCAUUCUAUGCACCUCGCACCACCCUCCUCCUCACCUGCCAAUCCUAUAGGUCCCACCUUUCACCGCCGGUUGAUCAAUUUUCCGGCCAUUCAUGGUUCGCCGCUCCGGCCACCGAUGCUCCGGUCAAUGACCACUCCGGCUAGAUGCUGCUCCGCACUUCCGCUUGACUUCAAAGGCGGCCAAAGAAUGAGUGGAUUCCAUGAAAUUGAACUCAAAGUCCGGGACUAUGAAUUGGAUCAAUACAAUGUCGUAAACAAUGCUGUUUAUGCGAGUUAUUGCCAGCACGGUCGGCAUGAACUUCUGGAAAGAAUUGGUGUAAAUGCAGAUGAAGUUGCACGCUCUGGUGAUGCAUUAGCACUGUCAGAGCUGUCGCUUAAGUUUAUUGCACCUUUAAAGAGCGGAGACAGGUUCGUUGUGAAGGUGAGGAUAUCUGACUUGUCAGCUGCUCGUUUAUUCUUUGAGCACUUCAUCUUCAAGCUUCCGAACGAAGAGCCCAUUCUGGAGGCCACAGGAGUAGCAGUGUGGCUUAACAAAAGUUAUCGUCCAGUCCGAAUUCCUGCAGAGUUUAGAUCCAAAUUUGUUCAGUUCCUUCGUAAGGUUGAAUCAAGCUAGCAUUCCCACAAAAAGGAGAGUUUUAGUUCCACCAAAGGAGAUAACAAGUCUCAGAUUGUUUGUUGUGUCGGUUAAUCAAACAAAAAAUUGAUGGCGGAAGGGGAGAUAUCAGUAGGUCAAGAGCAGAUGCUGCUCCACCAGCAGAAGAACAAAGUGAUGGUUGCUAUAGACGAUAGCGAAA
Molecule: RNA transcript, 925 nt
Organism: Ipomoea triloba (trilobed morning glory)
Lineage: Eukaryota; Viridiplantae; Streptophyta; Magnoliopsida; Solanales; Convolvulaceae
Gene name: acyl-acyl carrier protein thioesterase ATL3, chloroplastic-like
Exons: 6
Source: RefSeq, a predicted model, not a curated record